Molecule: long non-coding RNA, 774 nt
Filed under: Sorghum bicolor (sorghum)
Lineage: Eukaryota; Viridiplantae; Streptophyta; Magnoliopsida; Poales; Poaceae
Description: long non-coding RNA (SBIC_LNC003472)
Source: RNAcentral
UACCCUGCCUGUCAUUGUUAAAUAUAAUUUGAUAAAUUUAUAAACUUACCCUCAAUCCCAUGUAUUGGAUCCUCGGGGUCAAAAAUAGCCGAGUUAUAUGGCUCUUCAUCCCUUUUCAUGUUUGGAACACCACCUACAUAAAAUAUUUACAAAUAUCAUGAUGACAAAAGCUUUAGUUGUAUGGAGAACAAGUAUUUUGUGGUUCAAACCUUGUCUGAUUUUAAUAUUUGUAUUGAGAAAAUAUUUCCUAUCACCAUUGUUCUUUAUGGAAGCUAAAGGUUGUGGUUGCUGCUGAACUUGCAUUUGACGUUCGAAUUUUUUAGCAAGUGUCCCAUCGUGCUUAUGGUCUACAUUUUGCUCCCUCAUAACAAUACUGUUACCAGCUGCUUGGGUUCUUUUUCUCUGUCGAUAUUAUCGUUGGUACUCAUAAUUCCUUGUGCAUAGUUCCUCUUUCUUCAAAUCAAUUGUCUCUAAAGUUCCAAUGCCAACAUUCUGGUUAAGAUUCUGCUCCCUCGUAUUUUCACCGGCUGCUUUGUUUCUUUUUUCUCUUGAUAUCGUCGUUGGUACUCACGAUUCAUUGCGCGUAGUUCCUCUUUGUUCUGAUCAAUGGCCAUCAAUACUGCAUAUGACAAAAGCUUUAGUUGUAUGGAGAACAAGUAUUUUGUGGUUCAAACCUUGUCUGAUUUUAAUAUUUGUAUUGAGAAAAUAUUUCCUAUCACCAUUGUUCUUUAUUGAAGCUAAAGGUUGUGGUUGCUGCUGAACUUGCAUUUGACG